GACGAACGCUGGCGGCGUGCUUAACACAUGUAAGUCGAACGAAGAGCGAUGGAAGCUUGCUUCUAUCAAUCUUAGUGGCGAACGGGUGAGUAACGCGUAAUCAACCUGCCCUUCAGAGGGGGACAACAGUUGGAAACGACUGCUAAUACCGCAUACGAUCUAAUCUCGGCAUCGAGGAUAGAUGAAAGGUGGCCUCUACAUGUAAGCUAUCACUGAAGGAGGGGAUUGCGUCUGAUUAGCUAGUUGGAGGGGUAACGGCCCACCAAGGCGAUGAUCAGUAGCCGGUCUGAGAGGAUGAACGGCCACAUUGGGACUGAGACACGGCCCAGACUCCUACGGGAGGCAGCAGUGGGGAAUCUUCCGCAAUGGACGAAAGUCUGACGGAGCAACGCCGCGUGAGUGAUGACGGCCUUCGGGUUGUAAAGCUCUGUUAAUCGGGACGAAAGGCCUUCUUGCGAAUAGUGAGAAGGAUUGACGGUACCGGAAUAGAAAGCCACGGCUAACUACGUG
RNAcentral lists this ribosomal RNA (510 nucleotides) under uncultured bacterium. Its description in RNAcentral is "partial 16S ribosomal RNA". It matches the Rfam family "Bacterial small subunit ribosomal RNA", at positions 28 to 507 of the family's 1533-position model. The record is from RNAcentral.